GUCCCCUGUGUGCUGUUUAAUUUUUCCAUGUCUUGUCCUCCUUAAUUGUUGUCAGCUGUUUUCCCACCUAUUGGCCAUCUGCUUGUUGUCCUAUGACUCUAUUUAUUCACUCUGUCUCCAACUGUUCAUUGUGGUUUUGUACUGUUUGUCAGUCCUUGUGUUACUCCAUGCUAUUUUUUGGAUUAUUGAACUUAAGUUUCCUACAGCAAUAUCUGUUUGCUGCCACAACUACAAUAUAAGUUAGUUUCAGUUAAGUUAAUGGUUUUCCUUGUCUGCAUCUGGGUCUACGCCACAACCUUACACACCAUUUGCCCUUCUAGUGAAUCUGCUAGAAUGUCCACACAUUGCAAAGCUUGGCAAUGGUUUCCCACAAUACAGUGAAUGAACAGAAUAAAAUGAUUGACAAUGAAUGUUCCAGACCAGCAAUCUGAAAAAAUUGUUCUGCCUUGAUAGGUGUUCACAUUUACUUAUAAUCAGUUAAUCACAUGUAUUUAAUUAGCAGCAUCUGGCUGUUACUUACUAUCUUAACUCCUAUUGAAGCAGUAAGGGUGUACUUAGAUUCUCACAGGACUGCUUCUGCAUUUUUGUUAAAUAAUGACAUGGUAUAAUAAUGUAUGUCACGUAUUGUUGCCUACCUGAUGUUUACAUUAUAUUCUGAUAUGUAGUCUUAUAAGGGUUAUGUUGACAGAAGUUAUACUUUUGUUUAAUUGACCAUAAUGUUGUUCAGGCUGGAGCGUUAUUUCCUGUAUAUUUCAGUACUUUGACACAACAAGGGAAAAGUGUUAAGAUUACAAUCAAAGUGGAAACAGUAUUAGAAUAAAUGUUUUUAUAAACCUCUAAGUGUGGUAGGAGAGAGUUCAACAAGGGGACAGAGACAUUAAUUUUUUGUGUUUCAGAUUUUUCCAUAAUUCUUCGAUCUGAUUAUGCGUUGAAAUGGAGAGAGCCGUUACCUGGAAUACAAUGGGGACCCUGAAACAGGACGCAAUUAUAAGACCUUGACUUUACAUUAUUGAAGCAUUAAUGCAUUUGUUUUUUUAUUUACUAUCGAUUGAUUUGCACACUGAUAUUGUUUCGCUGACUUGUUGAAUGGACAUUAUAUGGCUCACUACUUGAAUGCAAACACAAGGCUGUGUUUGUAUAUUAUUUCAGUGCAAACUGUGUUUUGAAUUUAUCUUUGUACUAUGGAUUCAUAACUGUGUAGACUCGCAAAUUAUCAUGGUUAGCGCUGGCCAACCGUGGGGAUGUGAGGAAGAAGGACCCAAAUGCUGGACUCUUUAUGAUAAACAGUGCAUUUAUUUACAGUGGUGUAAAUAAUCCACAGAAUAAUAAGUCCCCGUGUGUUCCCUU
This is a non-coding RNA of Neolamprologus brichardi, 1347 nucleotides long. The record is from RefSeq and is a predicted model, not a curated record. NCBI's taxonomy places the organism in Eukaryota, Metazoa, Chordata, Actinopteri, Cichliformes, Cichlidae.